Molecule: small nuclear RNA, 107 nt
Organism: Rana temporaria (common frog)
Lineage: Eukaryota; Metazoa; Chordata; Amphibia; Anura; Ranidae
Source: RefSeq, a predicted model, not a curated record
GUCCUCACUUCGGCAGGACAUAACCUAAGAUUGGAAUGAUACAGAGAAGAUUAGCAUGGCCCCUGCGCAAGGUUGAUACGCACAUUCAUGAAGUGAUCCAUAUUUUU